UUUCCUCUUUCCAUCCUCCACCCAAGUCCCAAAUAUGGUCUCUUUUCUGAAUCACCAGUGUUGAAAACUUCCUUUUUCAUGUGUGUUCUUGUCUUAAUUUCCUCAUUUGACAAUAACACUAAUAUGUACAACCUACGCCUUACUCAUCCUUGCAUCUCCCACAGAAACCAGCACAAGGUCUUCUACUUAAGAGAUGAUCAAUAAAUAUUUGUUAAACGAAUUAAAUGAAAGCAACAGUUAGCCUGUUAAAAGGGAUGGUCAUUAUUUUAAAGGCCCUGAGGAAUGGCUUAUAUGUCUAGCACCUAAUCAAAAGCUGGUGGACCACAGAAGGAAGACCAGGGAGUGGAGGGGGCAGCCUUGCGCCUCUGCAUAUCUGCUGCCCCUGUAAACUCACGGAAUGCCCAACUCUUCAAGACUCUACAGAACAAAGCUACAGUGUCGGGUGCUGAAUGAACACCUUCACCUUUUUCUAAGUUCUCCAGUCUUGCUUCAAACCAGAAACUGGAAGUGGAAUUAGAGGUGGAAAUUAGGGCCAUCCUUUUCAACUUUAAGGUAUGGCUGAAAAAGUUGAAACAGCCAUCUGGAUAAUUCAGGCUCAAAAAACCCAUCCUGAAGAAUGGGCUACGAAACCUAGAGAAGGAUCAGGUGGCUUGUGAUUUCUCUCCCGAGACAGCGAUCUCUCUCUUCUCCUAACUC
Molecule: long non-coding RNA, 696 nt
Filed under: Homo sapiens (human)
Lineage: Eukaryota; Metazoa; Chordata; Mammalia; Primates; Hominidae
Description: HSALNT0304905
Source: RNAcentral